GCGCGGCCGGGCCGGCGCGGCCAGCUCGGGCUCAUCGAGCAGCAGCCCGAUGCGGCGGGCGGCGGCGGUCGCCUCGCGGACCGAGCCC
Molecule: transfer RNA, 88 nt
Filed under: Dactylosporangium sucinum
Lineage: Bacteria; Bacillati; Actinomycetota; Actinomycetes; Micromonosporales; Micromonosporaceae
Description: tRNA-Glu
Source: RNAcentral